Molecule: non-coding RNA, 447 nt
Organism: Penaeus vannamei (Pacific white shrimp)
Lineage: Eukaryota; Metazoa; Arthropoda; Malacostraca; Decapoda; Penaeidae
Source: RefSeq, a predicted model, not a curated record
UUCCCCGCGUGUAUGGGGGCGAGGCAGGGAGCCUCAUACAGCGCUCCCAUUGGGUAUAUAAGGAGCUGCGGAGGAAGGGGCCGCCAUACUGCACUCGUUCUGCAACGCUUCAACACCCGCUCGUCACACCAUGAAGCUGAUUUCGCUGUUGAUGGCCCUGGUGGUGGCCCUCUCUGGCCUCCUGGGUUCAGCUCGUGCUAUGCCUGACCCCUCCCCUGUGGCUGACCCCGUGGCUGACCCUGACCCCGUAGCUGACCCGUGGCACUUCAAACGCAAGCACUACUAUCCCCGCCGGCAUUACUACCCCCGUCGCCACCACUACCAUCACUGGUGAAGAUGAAUGAACGUUUUCCUUCGAAAAAUAAACGUUUAUUCCGACAUGAAAUUGAAAUGUUAACAUAUGAUCUCUCUGUCAUCUUGAUGUGAAAUAAAAUCUUAAUAGAUAUA